RNAcentral lists this transfer RNA (69 nucleotides) under Koreocerus koreanus. RNAcentral's name for it is "tRNA-Glu". The record is from RNAcentral. Lineage: Eukaryota; Metazoa; Arthropoda; Insecta; Hemiptera; Cicadellidae.
AUUCAUAUAGUUUAUUAAAAACAUUUUAUUUUCAUUAAAAAAAAGAAAUAUAAUUACAUUCUAUGGAUA